Molecule: ribosomal RNA, 1168 nt
Filed under: Enterobacter hormaechei
Lineage: Bacteria; Pseudomonadati; Pseudomonadota; Gammaproteobacteria; Enterobacterales; Enterobacteriaceae
Description: partial 23S ribosomal RNA
Rfam family: Bacterial large subunit ribosomal RNA
Source: RNAcentral
GGUUAAGCGACUAAGCGUACACGGUGGAUGCCCUGGCAGUCAGAGGCGAUGAAGGACGUGCUAAUCUGCGAAAAGCGCCGGCGAGGUGAUAUGAACCUUUGACCCGGCGAUGUCCGAAUGGGGAAACCCAGUGCAAUUCGUUGCACUAUCGUUAACUGAAUACAUAGGUUAACGAGGCGAACCGGGGGAACUGAAACAUCUAAGUACCCCGAGGAAAAGAAAUCAACCGAGAUUCCCCCAGUAGCGGCGAGCGAACGGGGAGCAGCCCGGAGUCUGAAUCAGCUUGUGUGUUAGUGGAACGGUCUGGAAAGUCCGACGGUACAGGGUGAUAGUCCCGUACACGAAAGCACACUUGCUGUGAACUCGAAGAGUAGGGCGGGACACGUGGUAUCCUGUCUGAAUAUGGGGGGACCAUCCUCCAAGGCUAAAUACUCCUGACUGACCGAUAGUGAACCAGUACCGUGAGGGAAAGGCGAAAAGAACCCCGGCGAGGGGAGUGAAAAAGAACCUGAAACCGUGUACGUACAAGCAGUGGGAGCCUCUUUAUGGGGUGACUGCGUACCUUUUGUAUAAUGGGUCAGCGACUUAUAUUCUGUAGCAAGGUUAACCGUAUAGGGGAGCCGAAGGGAAACCGAGUCUUAACUGGGCGUUAAGUUGCAGGGUAUAGACCCGAAACCCGGUGAUCUAGCCAUGGGCAGGUUGAAGGUUGGGUAACACUAACUGGAGGACCGAACCGACUAAUGUUGAAAAAUUAGCGGAUGACCUGUGGCUGGGGGUGAAAGGCCAAUCAAACCGGGAGAUAGCUGGUUCUCCCCGAAAGCUAUUUAGGUAGCGCCUCGUGAACUCAUCUUCGGGGGUAGAGCACUGUUUCGGCUAGGGGGCCAUCCCGGCUUACCAACCCGAUGCAAACUACGAAUACCGAAGAAUGUUAUCACGGGAGACACACGGCGGGUGCUAACGUCCGUCGUGAAGAGGGAAACAACCCAGACCGCCAGCUAAGGUCCCAAAGUCAUGGUUAAGUGGGAAACGAUGUGGGAAGGCACAGACAGCCAGGAUGUUGGCUUAGAAGCAGCCAUCAUUUAAAGAAAGCGUAAUAGCUCACUGGUCGAGUCGGCCUGCGCGGAAGAUGUAACGGGGCUAAACCAUGCACCGAAGCUGCGGCAGCGAC